This 1434-nucleotide ribosomal RNA is filed under the name uncultured organism. RNAcentral's name for it is "16S ribosomal RNA". It matches the Rfam family "Bacterial small subunit ribosomal RNA". The record is from RNAcentral.
CAGGCUUAACACAUGCAAGUCGAGGGGCAGCAUGGUCUUAGCUUGCUAAGGCCGAUGGCGACCGGCGCACGGGUGAGUAACACGUAUCCAACCUGCCGUCUACUCUUGGACAGCCUUCUGAAAGGAAGAUUAAUACAAGAUGGCAUCAUGAGUCCGCAUGUUCACAUGAUUAAAGGUAUUCCGGUAGACGAUGGGGAUGCGUUCCAUUAGAUAGUAGGCGGGGUAACGGCCCACCUAGUCUUCGAUGGAUAGGGGUUCUGAGAGGAAGGUCCCCCACAUUGGAACUGAGACACGGUCCAAACUCCUACGGGAGGCAGCAGUGAGGAAUAUUGGUCAAUGGGCGAGAGCCUGAACCAGCCAAGUAGCGUGAAGGAUGACUGCCCUAUGGGUUGUAAACUUCUUUUAUAAAGGAAUAAAGUCGGGUAUGCAUACCCGUUUGCAUGUACUUUAUGAAUAAGGAUCGGCUAACUCCGUGCCAGCAGCCGCGGUAAUACGGAGGAUCCGAGCGUUAUCCGGAUUUAUUGGGUUUAAAGGGAGCGUAGAUGGAUGUUUAAGUCAGUUGUGAAAGUUUGCGGCUCAACCGUAAAAUUGCAGUUGAUACUGGAUAUCUUGAGUGCAGUUGAGGCAGGCGGAAUUCGUGGUGUAGCGGUGAAAUGCUUAGAUAUCACGAAGAACUCCGAUUGCGAAGGCAGCCUGCUAAGCUGCAACUGACAUUGAGGCUCGAAAGUGUGGGUAUCAAACAGGAUUAGAUACCCUGGUAGUCCACACGGUAAACGAUGAAUACUCGCUGUUUGCGAUAUACGGCAAGCGGCCAAGCGAAAGCGUUAAGUAUUCCACCUGGGGAGUACGCCGGCAACGGUGAAACUCAAAGGAAUUGACGGGGGCCCGCACAAGCGGAGGAACAUGUGGUUUAAUUCGAUGAUACGCGAGGAACCUUACCCGGGCUUAAAUUGCAGAUGAAUUACGGUGAAAGCCGUAAGCCGCAAGGCAUCUGUGAAGGUGCUGCAUGGUUGUCGUCAGCUCGUGCCGUGAGGUGUCGGCUUAAGUGCCAUAACGAGCGCAACCCUUGUUGUCAGUUACUAACAGGUUCCGCUGAGGACUCUGACAAGACUGCCAUCGUAAGAUGUGAGGAAGGUGGGGAUGACGUCAAAUCAGCACGGCCCUUACGUCCGGGGCUACACACGUGUUACAAUGGGGGGUACAGAGGGCCGCUACCACGCGAGUGGAUGCCAAUCCCAAAAACCUCUCUCAGUUCGGACUGGAGUCUGCAACCCGACUCCACGAAGCUGGAUUCGCUAGUAAUCGCGCAUCAGCCACGGCGCGGUGAAUACGUUCCCGGGCCUUGUACACACCGCCCGUCAAGCCAUGGGAGCCGGGGGUACCUGAAGUGCGUAACCGCGAGGAGCGCCCUAGGGUAAAACUGGUGACUGGGGC